This 407-nucleotide ribosomal RNA is filed under the name uncultured bacterium. RNAcentral's name for it is "partial 16S ribosomal RNA". It matches the Rfam family "Bacterial small subunit ribosomal RNA", at positions 28 to 526 of the family's 1533-position model. The record is from RNAcentral.
GACGAACGCUGGCGGCGUGCCUAAUACAUGCAAGUAGGACGCAGUUGCGAACGGGUGAGUAACGCGUAGGUAACUACCUAUUAGAGGGGGAUAACUAUUGGAAAAGAUAGCUAAUAACGCAUACUAGUAGAUGGACCUGCGUUGUAUUAGCUAGUAGGUAGGGGAAAGGCCUACCUAGGCAGCGAUACAUAGCCGACCUGAGAGGGGGAUCGGGCCACCUGGGACGGGGAAACGGCCCAGACUCCUACGGGGAGCAGCCGUAGGGAAUCUUCGGCAAAGGGGCGAACCCCUACCGGGCAAAGCCGCGGGAGUGAAGAAAGUUUUCGGAUCGUAAAGCUCUGUUGGUAAGGAAGCGGUACUUAACCAGAAAGGGACGGCUAACUACGUGCCAGCCGCCGCGGUAAUUC